This 213-nucleotide ribosomal RNA is filed under the name Vibrio splendidus. RNAcentral's name for it is "partial 23S ribosomal RNA". It matches the Rfam family "Bacterial large subunit ribosomal RNA", at positions 209 to 469 of the family's 2925-position model. Lineage: Bacteria; Pseudomonadati; Pseudomonadota; Gammaproteobacteria; Vibrionales; Vibrionaceae. The record is from RNAcentral.
CCCCGAGGAAGAGAAAUCAACCGAGAUUCCGAAAGUAGCGGCGAGCGAAAUUGGAUUAGCCCUUAAGCUUUUAAUGAGACAGACGAAGGCUCUGGAAAGUGCCGCAGUAAAGGGUGAUAGCCCCGUAGUCGACAUCUCAUAAUCAGUGAAAACGAGUAGGGCGGGACACGUGAUAUCCUGUCUGAAUAUGGGGGGACCAUCCUCCAAGGCUAA